GCCCUGGAGCUUUAUCCAAAUUCAUAUCUUCUAUAGUAUCUUCAAUCUCUUCCUUUGAUACUUGCUUAGUCAAAUAGUCAUUCUAUUCCUCAGUUACUACUACCUAUAUAAUUGGAAAAUCCAUUCCUUCCACAUUCAAUUGACUAGUCCACCUUUCUUGGAAAUGUGCCAAAAAAGUCCCGCUAAUAUCUUCUAGAUUUUUAGUGUGCAUACCCUAUU
RNAcentral lists this long non-coding RNA (219 nucleotides) under Elaeis guineensis (African oil palm). Its description in RNAcentral is "long non-coding RNA (EGUI_LNC034184)". The record is from RNAcentral. Lineage: Eukaryota; Viridiplantae; Streptophyta; Magnoliopsida; Arecales; Arecaceae.